Molecule: ribosomal RNA, 490 nt
Filed under: uncultured bacterium
Lineage: Bacteria
Description: partial 16S ribosomal RNA
Rfam family: Bacterial small subunit ribosomal RNA
Source: RNAcentral
GAUGAACGCUAGCUACAGGCUUAACACAUGCAAGUCGCGGGGCAGCAUGGGGGUUGCUUGCAAUCCCCGAUGGCGACCGGCGCACGGGUGAGUAACGCGUAUCCAACCUGCCCUUCACCACGGGAUAACCCGGCGAAAGUCGGACUAAUACCGUAUGUUGUCCAUUGACGGCAUCCGAUUUGGACGAAAGGUUUGGCGGUGAAGGAUGGGGAUGCGUCCGAUUAGCUGGACGGCGGGGUGACGGCCCACCGUGGCGACGAUCGGUAGGGGUUCUGAGAGGAAGGUCCCCCACACUGGAACUGAGGCACGGUCCAGACUCCUACGGGAGGCAGCAGUGAGGAAUAUUGGUCAAUGGGCGUAAGCCUGAACCAGCCAAGUAGCGUGCAGGAUGACGGCCCUAUGGGUUGUAAACUGCUUUUAUGCGGGGAUAAAGUGGCCCACGUGUGGGUUUUUGCAGGUACCGCAUGAAUAAGGACCGGCUAAUUCCGUG